GUUUCAGACGAACCUUUGAGGAGUUGAAGC
Molecule: non-coding RNA, 30 nt
Filed under: Halopenitus persicus
Lineage: Archaea; Methanobacteriati; Methanobacteriota; Halobacteria; Halobacteriales; Haloferacaceae
Source: RNAcentral